GUCGUAACAAGGUUUCCGUAGGUGAACCUGCGGAAGGAUCAUUAUUGAAUGAAAUUGAGUGGGGUUGUAGCUGGCCUUCUACUAGGCAUGUGCACAUCUCAUUCAACCUCUUCUUACACCUCUGUGCACUUCUCAUGGGCUGGGUCACAUCUGAAAUAAUGUUGAGACUUGGCCCAUGUGUUUUUACACAAACACUUUUGUUAUUGGAUGUCUGUAAUGCAUGAAUAGCAUAUAAAUACAACUUUCAGCAACGGAUCUCUUGGCUCUCGCAUCGAUGAAGAACGCAGCGAAAUGCGAUAAGUAAUGUGAAUUGCAGAAUUCAGUGAAUCAUCGAAUCUUUGAACGCACCUUGCGCUCCUUGGUAUUCCGAGGAGCAUGCUUGUUUGAGUGUCAUGGUAUUCUCAACCCUUCAGUGUUYUUACAGUUGGGCUUGGACUUGGAGGUUUUUUUGCUGGUGAUACAGGUUGAAUUUCAACUGACGCAUUGGCUCCUCUAAAAUAUAUUUGCUUGGAUUAAUUAUCAAGUAUGGUUCAGUGUGAUAAUGUCUACGCUGUUUCAUCUUGGUAAACAUUAAGUGUCCUAGCUUUGACUUCUGUCUCUUAUCGACAGAUUCUCUGAACAUCUGACCUCCAAAUCAAGUAGGACUA
RNAcentral lists this ribosomal RNA (647 nucleotides) under Steccherinum sp. DLL2011-1. RNAcentral's name for it is "eukaryotic LSU rRNA". The stretch from base 240 to 393 matches the Rfam family "5.8S ribosomal RNA". The record is from RNAcentral. Lineage: Eukaryota; Fungi; Basidiomycota; Agaricomycetes; Polyporales; Steccherinaceae.